RNA transcript from Alligator mississippiensis (American alligator), 5023 nucleotides. It is a transcript of the gene named UDP-glucose glycoprotein glucosyltransferase 2, with no coding region annotated. The transcript has 40 exons. NCBI's taxonomy places the organism in Eukaryota, Metazoa, Chordata, Crocodylia, Alligatoridae. The record is from RefSeq and is a predicted model, not a curated record.
GGCUCCUGCGUGGCAAGCGCGGGAGUGGGCUGUCUCGGUGGCCCGUCCCGUAACAGCGCCUGCUUCCUUCUCUUGCUCCCGUUCCCCAUGGCGGCCAGAUCGGCGCUCCUCGUCCCGCUGCUGCUGCUGCUGCUCCUGCUCCCGCUCCCACCGUGGCCGGGUGGCGCCGCGGCCUCCCGCAAGGCCGUGACGGCCCGUCUGGCGGCCAAGUGGGCGGCCGCGCCGCUGCUGCUGGAGGCGAGUGAAUUUAUUGCAGAAGAAAGUAAUGAGAAGUUUUGGCAAUUUUUGGAAACUGUACGAGAAUUAACAAUUUAUAAGCAAGGAGACUCAGACCAUUCUUAUUACAACUUAAUCUUGAAGAAAGCAGGACAAUUUUUAUCAAACUUGCAGAUCAAUCUAUUGAAGUUUGCCCUUUCUAUAAGGGCAUACUCUCCAACUGUUCAUAUGUUUCAACAGAUUGCAGUUGAUGAACCUCCACCAGAAGGUUGCAGUGCAUUUGUGGUUAUCCAUGAGAAGCACACCUGUAAGACUAAUGAAAUUAAAAAACUUCUGAAGAAAGCUACUAAGAGACCAAGGCCAUAUCUGUUUAAAGGAGAUCAUAAAUUCCCUACACUCAAGGAGAAUGUUCCUGUGGUUAUUCUUUAUGCUGAAAUGGGUACAGAAGAUUUUGUUAAAUUUCACAAGGUUUUGUCUGAAAAGGCCCAGAAGGAGGAAAUUAUUUAUGUUCUCCGACAUUAUGUUCAGCAGAAAUCAGGCUCCAGGAAAACAUAUUUGUCUGGAUAUGGUGUGGAACUUGCAAUAAAGAGUACAGAAUACAAAGCAGUGGAUGACACUCAGGUUAAAGCAACAAAUGACACAACAGGAGAGGAAGGUGAUGAGGAAAAUGAAGUACAAGGAUUUAUCUUUGGUAAGCUAAGACAGAUGUAUCCUAAUCUUAAGGAUAAUUUGAAGGAGUUCAGAAAGCACCUGAUUGAAAGUACUAAUAACAUGGAACUUCUGAAAGUCUGGGAACUACAAGAUCUCAGUUUUCAAGCAGCUUCUCAAAUUAAAUCGACCCCUGUUUAUGAUGCCUUAAAGGUAAUGAAAGACAUUGCACAGAACUUCCCUGUAAAGGCCAGAUCUUUGACCAGAGUUCCUGUAAACCAACAAAUGAAAAAUGAAAUAGAGGAAAAUCAGAAGCAUUUCUAUGAAACACUUGGUAUUCAGCCUGGAGAAGCAUGUUUACUUCUAAACGGUCUUCAUAUUGACCUGGAUUUUCAUGAUCCAUUUAGUAUUUUAGAAACUCUUAAAAUGGAGGGAAAAGUUAUGCAUGGUCUUCAUGAACUUGGAAUCAAAGAGGAGGCUCUUAGCAAACUUAGGAAUUUAGAUAUCCAUCCUGCAAAUGACAGUUAUGCAUUAGAUAUUCGUCAUUCUUCAAUAACAUGGGUCAAUAACAUAGAAAAAGAUCAUAUCUACAGCACAUGGCCCACAAGUUUCCAGGAACUGCUUAAACCAACAUUUCCAGAAGUUAUAAAGCAGAUUAGGCGGAAUUUGUAUAAUUUGGUACUGUUUAUUGAUCCUGUCCAGGAAAAUGCAGCUGAUUUUAUGAAACUGGCAGAAUUAACCUAUCAUCAUAACAUGCCACUUAGAGUUGGAGUUGUUUUCAUCUUAAAUACUAAUGAAGAAAUUGAUGGGAAUGAAGAUGCUGGAGUAGCUCUUUGGAGAGCUUUUAACUAUAUUGCAGAAGAAUCUGACAUCUCUCAAGCUUUUAUCUCCAUAAUCAAUAUGUUUCAUGAAGUGAAAGAGGGAGAUUUUCUCACUGUGAAUCAUGUGAAAAACAUUCUUAGAAGUGAAUUUCCUCGUGCUAAUGUUCCAAGUAUACUGGGUAUUCAUUCUGAAUAUGAUGAGGAAAGGAAGGCAGGAGCAACCUUUUAUAAGAAGAUUGGCCUGGGUCCAUUGCCUCAAGCUCUGUUUAAUGGUGUGCCCUUUAACAGUGAAGAGAUGAAUGCUGCAAAGUUAGAGACAAUUAUUCUCCAGAAGAUCAUUGAUGCCACUGGGUUCUUCCAGAGGGCAGUUUUCAUGGGUUUGUUAAAUGAUCAAAUGGACACAGUGGAUUUCCUCAUGGAACAACAUAAUGCAAUUUCCCGUAUAAACCCCACCAUUUUUAGUACUGAAAGAAGAUACAUAAAUUUCAUUUCCACUUCAGUUCCUGUUGACACAGAAGAUUUUUCAACUUUCUCCUUUUUGGACUCACAAGAUAAGAGUGCUGUAAUUUCUGAGAACAUGAAGUAUUUAACAAGGAAGGAUGAAGAUGUAAUAUAUGCAGUUACUAUUUGGAUUAUUGCUGAUUUUGACAAGCCAGCUGGGAGACGACUGCUUUCAAAUGCUUUGAAACACCUGAAAACAAGCAGCCAUACAAGACUUGGGCUUGUGAACAACCCUGGGUCAAAAAUAACUGAAGAUAACACAGCUAUUGCCAGGGGAAUUUUGACAGCUUUUCUAACACAGAAAAACAGCAGUUUAAGAAGUUUUUUAAGCAAGUUAGUUAAGGAGGAGACAGCAGAAGCCCUUGCUAUAGGAACGAAAAUUAAGGAAUUCUUUGUUCUGGGAAUAGAUGACAAUAUUUUUGAGAAAAAAUACAACACUUUAGGAGUGAAUGUAAUUAAAACCCACCAGAUGUUCUGUCAAGAGGUUCUUAAACUGCUUCCUGGACAAAUGGCUGUUGUAAGCAAUGGGAGAAUCUUGGGCCCUUUAGAUGAAAAUGAAUUCUAUACAGAAGAUUUCCAGUUGUUGGAAAAAAUAACAUUUAGUACCUCAGGAGAGAAGAUUAAAGCCAUUGUCAAGGAGAUGAAGAUCAGCAAUAAGCGUGCCAGUGAUUUGAUUAUGAAAGUAGAUGCCCUUCUCUCUUCAUUGACAAAAAAGGAGAUGAGACAGGCUGUUCAGUUUCUCAAAGAGCAUCACAGCAUAGUAAAAAUAGAUCCUCAACAGAAUGAACCAUUCUAUGAUGUGGUUGCUAUCCUUGAUCCACUGACAAGAGAAGCACAGAAGAUGGCACAUUUAUUGAUUGUACUGAGAGACAUUGUCAACAUGAAACUGAAGCUUUUUAUGAAUUGUAGAUCUAAACUGUCAGAAGUACCUUUGAAGAGCUUUUAUCGUUUUGUGUUGGAGCCAGAGCUGACUGCCGGGGCCAACAACCUCUUUCCUUCUGAGCCUGUGGCAAAAUUCCUUGAAAUGCCAGAAUCACCUCUGUUGACUCUAAAUAUGAUCACUCCUGAAAGCUGGUUGGUUGAAGCAGUAAACAGUUCCUAUGAUCUUGAUAACAUUCACUUAGAGGAUAUAGAAGGAAUUGUUACAGCAGAAUAUGAACUGGAAUAUCUAUUACUUGAAGGACAUUGCUUUGAUAUAACUACGGGACAACCUCCUCAGGGCUUACAGUUCACACUAGGCAUGAAGAAUAAUCCUGUUAUGGUUGAUACCAUAGUGAUGGCCAACUUGGGAUAUUUCCAGCUGAAAGCAAAUCCAGGUGCCUGGACACUGAGAUUACGCAAAGGAAGAUCUGAUGAUGUCUACCACAUACUUUACCAUGAAGGAACAGAUUCCCCAGCUGGUCUGAAAGAUGUUGUUGUUGUUCUAAAUAACUUCAGGAGCAAAAUCAUCAAAAUACAAGUGCAGAAAAAAGCUAAUAAAAUCAAUGAAGAUCUCCUUAAUGAUGGGGUUACAGAAGAAAAAGGAAUUUGGGAAUCAAUUACAAGUUUUUCAGGAGGAAUUCAAACAGAAGAAAAAGAGAGGAAAAAUUAUUCUCUAAAUAUUUUUUCAGUUGCCUCAGGUCAUUUAUAUGAACGCUUCUUAAGAAUUAUGAUGGUUUCUGUUCUGCGUCAUACCAAGACACCAGUUAAGUUUUGGUUUCUGAAAAAUUACCUCUCGCCAACAUUUAAAGAAGUUAUUCCCUACCUGGCUAAAGAAUAUGGAUUCCAAUAUGAAUUGGUGCAAUAUAAGUGGCCCCGCUGGCUAUAUCAACAAACAGAAAAACAAAGAAUAAUUUGGGGUUACAAAAUUCUUUUCCUGGAUGUUCUUUUUCCGUUGGCUGUGGACAAAAUAAUAUUUGUUGAUGCUGAUCUGAUUGUGAGAGAUGACUUAAGAGAACUUAGAGAUUUAGAUCUAAAUGGAGCUCCCUAUGGAUACACUCCUUUCUGUGACAGUCGCACAGAAAUGGAUGGGUACCGUUUCUGGAAAUCAGGGUAUUGGGCAUCACAUCUUGGGAAAAGGAAAUACCACAUAAGCGCCUUGUAUGUUGUAGAUCUUAAGAAGUUCAGAAGGAUUGCUGCAGGAGACAGGCUUCGGGGCCAGUACCAAGCUCUCAGUCAAGAUCCAAACAGUCUUUCAAACUUAGAUCAGGAUCUUCCCAAUAACAUGAUUCAUCAAGUGGCCAUUAAGUCUCUUCCUCAAGAAUGGCUCUGGUGUGAAACCUGGUGUGAUGAUGAAUCCAAGAAAAAGGCUAAAACAAUUGACUUGUGCAAUAACCCCCAAACCAAAGAACCUAAACUGAAGGCUGCUGUCAGGAUAAUUCCUGAAUGGGUUGAGUAUGACUCUGAAAUACAAAAGCUUAUAAAGCAAAUUGAAAGAGAGAAGAAAAGCCUAACUCAAUCCUUUCAAAAAAUUUUCAAGCGUGAUGAGCUCUAGCAUGAUUCAGUUGUGGUGACACAAAGCAAUCUUCUACAUGAGAUGGAACGGAGGAUGUGACUACUGCUGUGGCACUAUUUUCAACAUCUUAUCAAUGUGAACUCAUUUUUUAAUUUAUAUGGACUUUGUUUAAACCAUUUAAAUGGAAUGAAAAUAUAUUGUAAGAUCAGUACAUGGGAAAUGUUUCAGUUUUCUUUUUGUUCUGAGCAAGGUUUAAAAGAAGAAAAUGUGUUUAUAGUUGGCCAACUUGACCAUUCCUUGGUGUCUACUAUAUGUUUAUAAAAACAACAUUCACAAAAAUACAAAUAUCUGAAAGCAGGUGAAAUGUAAAUUCAUUUUAAUUAAAAUCUAGUAUCUUAAAUAA